GUUUGAUCCUGGCUCAGGACGAACGCNGGCGGCGUGCCCAAUACAUGCAAGUCGAGCGGACAGGGGAGCUUGCCCUGAUGUAGCGACGGGUGAGUAACACGUGGGUAACCUGCNCANACUGGGAUACUCCGGGAAACCGGGCUAAUACCGGAUGGUUGUUUGAACCGCAUGGUUCAAACAUAAAGGUGGCUUCGGCUACCACUNNAGAUGGACCCGCGGCGCANNUGUUGGUGAGGUAACGGCUCACCAGGCAACGAUGCGUAGCCGACCUGAGAGGGUGAUCGGCACACUGGGACUGAGACACGGCAGACUCCUACGAGGCAGUAGGGAAUCUUCCGCAAUGGACGAAAGUCUGACGGAGCAACGCCGUGAGUGAUGAAGGUUUCGGAUCGUAAAGCUCUNCGGGAAGAACAAGUACCGUUCGAACAGGGCGGUACCUUGACGGUACCCAACCAGAAAGCCACGGCUAAUCGUGCCAGCAGCCGUAAUACGUAGGUGGCAAGCGUUUUCCGGAAUUAUUGGGCGUAAAGGGCUCGCAGGCGGUUUCUUAAGUCUGAUGUGAAAGCCCCGGCUCAACCGGGAGGGUCAUUGAAACUGGGGAACUUGAGUGCAGAAGAGGAGAGUGGAAUUCCACGUGNAGCGGUGAAUGCGAGAUGUGGAGGAACACCAGUGGCGAAGGCGACUCUGGUCUGUAACUGACGCUGAGGAGAAAGCGUGGGGAGCGGGAUACCCUGGUAGUCCACGCCAUAACGAUGAGUGCAAGUGUUAGGGGUUUCCGCCCCUUAGUGCUGCAGCUAACGCAUUAGGCACUCCGCCUGGGGAGUACGGUCGCAAGACUGAAACUCAAAGAAUUGACGGGGCCCGCACAAGCGGUGGAGCAUGUGGUUUAAUUCGAAGCAACGCGAAGAACCUUACAGGUCUUGACAUCCUGACAAUCCUAGGAUAGGACGUCCCUUCGGGGCAGAGUGACAGGUGGUGCAUGGUUGUCAUCAGCUCGUGUCGUGAGAUGUUGGGUUAAGUCCGCAACGAGCGCACCUCCUUGAUCUUNGUUGCCAGCAUUCAGUUGGGCACUCAAGGUGACUGCCGGUGACAAACCGGAGGAAGGUGGGAUGACGUCAAAUCAUCAUGCCCUUAUGACCUGGGCUACACGUGCUACAAUGGACAGAACAAAGGGCAGCGAAACCGCGAGGUUAAGCCAAUCCCACAAAUCUGUUCUCAGUUCGGAUCGCAGUCUGCAACUCGACUGCGUGAAGCUGGAAUCGCUGAAUCGCGGAUCAGCAUGCCGCGGUGAAACNUUCCCGGGCCUUGUACACACCGCCCGUCACCACCGAGAGUUUGUAACACCCGAAGUCGGUGAGGUAACCUUUAGGAGCCAGCCGCCGAAGGUGGGACAGAUGAUUGGGU
RNAcentral lists this ribosomal RNA (1404 nucleotides) under metagenome. RNAcentral describes it as "bacterial SSU rRNA". It matches the Rfam family "Bacterial small subunit ribosomal RNA". The record is from RNAcentral.